AGACGUGCUGCCAGGAGGCCCAUUCGCACACUGGUGUCCGUGUCUUUCCCUUGUAGGAUCCCUGCCAUCACUGCACCUGCAAGACUGAAAGAUCGAGACAGACAGAGACAGAUCGUAAAGAGACGUUGACCGUUUCUUCAGAACGUACUGACAGUGCCGGGACAUGAAAGAAGCUCCAUUUGUGACAAGAUUUUUCUAGGUAGUACUUUCUCAGAAGAGUUUUCCAGGAAACAUAUUCUAUGUAUCAACAUUCAAUAGCCAUUUUAUCAGACCAACACUCCCAGUGCACCCAGUGUCACUACCACACAAUGCAAGUGCUCCAGCAGGGGGCGGGAAAGAGCUGCUGCACACCCCAAAACAUCCUCCAGAGAACUUGGCAUAAGAUAUAGAAGCAGCACGCAUUUCAUGGUAAGUUAU
Molecule: long non-coding RNA, 417 nt
Organism: Silurus meridionalis
Lineage: Eukaryota; Metazoa; Chordata; Actinopteri; Siluriformes; Siluridae
Exons: 5
Source: RefSeq, a predicted model, not a curated record